UACAGAGGUCUCAAGCGUUGUUCGGAUUCAUUGGGCGUAAAGGGUGCGUAGGCGGCGCGGUAAGUCGGGUGUGAAAUCUCGGAGCUUAACUCCGAAACUGCAUUCGAUACUGCCGUGCUUGAGGACUGGAGAGGAGACUGGAAUUUACGGUGUAGCGGUGAAAUGCGUAGAUAUCAUUUGGAACGCCAAUGGUGAAAACAGGUUGCUGGGAGUAUGCUGACGCUGAGACACGAAAGCCAGGGGAGCGAACGGG
RNAcentral lists this ribosomal RNA (253 nucleotides) under uncultured bacterium. RNAcentral describes it as "partial 16S ribosomal RNA". It matches the Rfam family "Bacterial small subunit ribosomal RNA", at positions 524 to 776 of the family's 1533-position model. The record is from RNAcentral.